Molecule: ribosomal RNA, 301 nt
Filed under: uncultured bacterium
Lineage: Bacteria
Description: partial 16S ribosomal RNA
Rfam family: Bacterial small subunit ribosomal RNA
Source: RNAcentral
CAGCCGCCGCGGUAAAACGGAGGGAGCUAGCGUUGUUCGGAAUCACUGGGCGUAAAGCGCACGUAGGCGGCUAUUCAAGUCAGGGGUGAAAGCCCGGGGCUCAACCCCGGAACUGCCUUUGAAACUAGAUAGCUUGAAUCUUGGAGAGGCGAGUGGAAUUCCGAGUGUAGAGGUGAAUUUCGUAGAUAUUCGGAAGAACACCAGUGGCGAAGGCGACUCGCUGGACAAGUAUUGACGCUGAGGUGCGAAAGCGUGGGGAGCAAACAGGAUUAGAUACCCCAGUAGUCCCUGUCUCUUAUAC